UUUUUUUGUUUUUGUUUUUGUUUUUGGUCUCCCUAAUUCAAGGGGGUACCAGAUAGGGACUCCUCCUUAUUCUCGGUCUUAUCUCCAUUAUUUGUCCUAAACCAAGAUUCUUGGCCUUGAAAUAGAAAAUUAUGAUCCAACUCUGCAGUUCUCAUAAGAGCCCUAGUUUUGUCUGGGGGCUGUGCUUUGGAGGACAGGGAUACCAAUUAUGCCAUCUAAAAUCUCUUCUGUCUCUUUAUAUAACAAGACAGAACAUGCUUUCAGAAGGAGUCUUUUGUUUUCCUGGAUUCUACAAUAUCAGUAGAACAGCUUCCAAGCUAUUGGCCUGCUUUUCUAAGAGAGUUAAUUCAACAUAAGUCCACAGCUGGUUGUUCCUUAAGCAUUGUACUGCCAAUUGGCAGGCACAUCUUUGUAAGAUUGGGGGAAAUUUAGAGUUGUGGAAUCACACUUGGCCUUUUAAGAAGAGUACAAAUUGCAAGGCUCUCUUAAGGCCUGCAAAAACUAACUCCAAGGUGGAUAAUGCAUGCCUUCAGGGAAGGUUGUUUAAGUUUCUGAGAGGCAAAAAGGUCCAGUACCAUGGCUUGGGGAGGGGCCUUGACUCUUCAGCCCUUUAGGUGAAAGAGUUCUGGGCAGGACAGUGUGGUAAGUGCUUAGGAUAGGAAUCUGGCUGUGAACCUGGGUGUGUUGCCCAAACUGAUUGACCUCAACACACAGGAAGGAGGACAAGGCCACCCAGAAGCUGGCCCUCCCUAGGUAGAGCUCUCAGGGCUCUUUUGAGUAGGCCCCUCCACUGCUCUGGGCCUGCAUUCCUUAUCUGAGGAAGGAAGGAAAUGGACCUGAUGACUGUGAAGGCCCCCUGCAGUGCCAUAUACAGUAGACUAGGUCACUGUAACAACUCAUUUCAGGGGAAUUCGGAUGUACCGCUGGCCAAAUAUCCACAAUGGGUUGUGUUAUAGGUCAUUAUUAGGUCCAUAUCCCCAUAAAACAGACAUUAUAUUUGCAAAAGCUGUGGGAAAGAGGGGAACGGAAAGCAUCUGUUAAAAGUUUCUUUGAGAAAUUUAUGCUAUUAAGUUUGGAAGUAUAAUUAUUUUUUACCUUUUUCCCCUAUGGCUCAUUUCCCCUCCAGGACUCAACUGAGGACAAUGUAAAUCCAAAGGAGAAAAAGCAACUCACCAAAUCUUAAGAUACUCUCUCACACUCUCAGCCUAAGGUGUACACACACACCUUCUCCCAUACCACUAUACUAAAUUCUCUCAGGAGAGACUGUUUACAUUGUUUAAAGGUAAAAUGGCCCAGUGCUGAGGCAUAGAGCAGAGCCUUGAGUCUGCAGCCCUUUGAGGGAAAGAGCUCUGGGUGGGAUGGAAGGGUUAGGCAGUGAGCAGCUGCAUCUGGCAGUGUGUACAGUGUCUGAAUAUGGGACUAGAACCCAAGGGAGGGCACAGCCACUCAGAGGCUGGCCUCCAGAUUGCCCCCUUGUGCCCUCUUUUGCAGGCCAUUUCUCUGCUAUAGUCCUGUGUUCCCUCAUCUGUAAAGUGAAAGGAAUAGGCUUGAUAACCUCCAAAAGUCCUCUGCAGUGCUUGGGCAACACUUCCUCCAGGAAGGACUCCCUAGUCAACAGAGAUGGGAUGGGGAACAAAGUGUGGGUUUAUCCCCUAAGAUGACCAUCUCCCAGCAGACAUAUUUACCUUGAGGGCAUGAAACAUCCCUGGUUACUCUUUGUGACCUGAAAGGCCAGCCAGAGGAUGGGCACAGAGCAGGUGUGUCUGCCAAUCUGUAGAAUAUGGAUGUGAGAAGCAGUCCAGGUAAGCAAUCUUCACAGACCUUCUAAGCAAACAUCUGCUACUCUUUUCCAACCUCUCCAUUCACCAAAUCAAGUAGCAGCUAAGAACAGGACUUUGCUGUCACAUGACCUUGAGCUCAAAUCAUGGCCUUGCUGCUGUGUCACCUUGGCGAGUCAGCUAUAGCAGGUGAUGUGAAUGUCCUACCACAACUCCUCAGCCAUAUGCGCUGGGCCCAACAUCCACCUGCCCCAUUUCCUCUGUGGACUGAAGCCCCUCUACCUGUGCAUGGAAGGCUGGAAAUGCUGGGGAAUCAAUGCUCCCAGGGACAGCCACCGACCAAUAACCAUGGGCAGUUGGUGUGUAAAUGUACAUUUCUGAUGAAGUUGGAUAGCAUUCAAAGGGCUCAAAAACCACAAAGCUGUCAACCAAGAACCCUACAACCAGCAAAGCUAUCUUUCAGAAAUCAAGGCAAAGAUGCUCCC
This 2263-nucleotide long non-coding RNA is filed under the name Canis lupus familiaris (dog). RNAcentral's name for it is "lncRNA (ENSCAFG00000052893.1, ENSCAFG00845021849.1)". Lineage: Eukaryota; Metazoa; Chordata; Mammalia; Carnivora; Canidae. The record is from RNAcentral.